RNAcentral lists this ribosomal RNA (508 nucleotides) under uncultured bacterium. RNAcentral describes it as "partial 16S ribosomal RNA". It matches the Rfam family "Bacterial small subunit ribosomal RNA", at positions 28 to 507 of the family's 1533-position model. The record is from RNAcentral.
GACGAACGCUGGCGGCGUGCCUAAUACAUGCAAGUCGAACGCUUCUUUCCUCCCGAGUGCUUGCACUCAAUUGGAAAGAGGAGUGGCGGACGGGUGAGUAACACGUGGGUAACCUACCCAUCAGAGGGGGAUAACACUUGGAAACAGGAGCUAAUACCGCAUAACAGUUUAUGCCGCAUGGCAUAAGAGUGAAAGGCGCUUUCGGGGGUCGCUGAUGGAUGGACCCGCGGUGCAUUAGCUAGUUGGUGAGGUAACGGCUCACCAAGGCCACGAUGCAUAGCCGCCCUGAGAGGGUGAUGGGCCACACUGGGACUGAGACACGGCCCAGACUCCUACGGGAGGCAGCAGUAGGGAAUCUUCGGCAAUGGACGAAAGUCUGACCGAGCAACGCCGCGUGAGUGAAGAAGGUUUUCGGAUCGUAAAACUCUGUUGUUAGCGAAGAACAAGGACGUUAGUAACUGAACGUCCCCUGACGGUAUCUAACCAGAAAGCCACGGCUAACUACGUG